CCUACGGGUGGCAGCAGUGAGGAAUAUUGGUCAAUGGGCGGGAGCCUGAACCAGCCAAGCCGCGUGAGUGAAGACGGUCCUAUGGAUUGUAAACCUCUUUAGGCGGGGAGCAAUGCCGGGCACGCGUGCCCGGAGGGAGAGUACCCGCAGAAUAAGCAUCGGCUAACUCCGUGCCAGCAGCCGCGGUAAUACGUAGGAUGCGAGCGUGUUCGGGAUGUAUUGGGUUAAAAGGGUGCGUAGGCGGAUAUUUAAGUCAGCGGUAAAAUGUCCGGGCUCAACCCGGGACGGCAGUUGAAACUGGGGAUCGUGAGUGGGGGAGAAGUAUGCGGAAUGCGUGGUGUAGCGGUGAAAUGCAUAGAUA
Molecule: ribosomal RNA, 361 nt
Filed under: uncultured bacterium
Lineage: Bacteria
Description: partial 16S ribosomal RNA
Rfam family: Bacterial small subunit ribosomal RNA
Source: RNAcentral